This is a long non-coding RNA of Pteronotus mesoamericanus, 1164 nucleotides long. RefSeq lists it as uncharacterized. Lineage: Eukaryota; Metazoa; Chordata; Mammalia; Chiroptera; Mormoopidae. The record is from RefSeq and is a predicted model, not a curated record. The transcript has 3 exons.
AGUUGAACAGUUGAACGCUCCGGGCUGGGGUGGUCCUGUGAGCAGACAACGGGUAGAGGCCCAGUGGGAAGAGUGAGGCCACAUCAAGUGACAGGGCGGCAGAAUGAAAUAAAGAAAAUGCGACCCAUCUGUAAAGUGAUCCAUGAGAGACUCACUUUAGAGACAAAGAGAUUGAAAGGGAAAGGGUGAAAAAGAUCCUCAAGGUCGACACAUUCUGCCCAUACCACCCAAGCAAAUGGUUUGCUCUGACGCCAACUUGUAUUUACCCUCCAUCAGCAGUUGACUGUGUGUCCUGAUCCCUGGACCCUUCCCAUCGGUGCCCCUGGCGGUUGAGGCGGCCACGUGGGUGAGUCUCUGCCUGCUUCUCCCCGUGGCCAGGAUCGUGACUGCUCCACUGCACCUAAGAGAACAACCUUGGACCUGACUUGACAUCUCUCCCUUGACCUUCAGCCUCUAUUCUCUGCUUACACAUGCUGCUAGAAUUAAUUUAUUCUUUUCCUUUUUCAUGCCCUGAUCACUUUCCCCCAUUUCUUUUUAUCCUUGUUUUGUGCUGUCAUCCAUUCACUGGCUAUAGAGGCUGUUUAAAAGCCUGAGAAAGCAUUGUGUCUCAAGGGGUUUCCCAUGUAUAGUGGAGAAAUGUUCAUGGUUGAAGUAAUCCCGGCAUGACUGAGCAUUCCGACGCUGUCAGCUGUAGGCACACUAAAGGUUAGGCACCAGCCAAAAUCACCUCCGGCCCAGUGCGAGGAGGCUCAUCUUUAAGUUAAAAAUUCCCAUCAUCUUAGGACAGAUUUAAAUAAUCAUUUCCCCGAUGUUUUCUUUUGAGCAUAUUCCUAACGGCAAAUAUAAUUCUUACAGAUAAGAUAUAAGAGCUCAAAUGUUUUCUUAAAAGAAUAUUUCUAGUUCCAUUCUUGAGUAGGGUUGAUACUCUGCUUGCUUUGUUAAUUUCACUUGGUGCUAUAUAGUUCAGUUAUUUGCUAGUGGCAAAUGAAAUAGACUAUGUCUAAUAUCUGAGAGGCAGAGAUCAUGAAAGUUCAGUCUUCUGUGUGUAUAUACGUUAUCAUGGGUGAUAUGAUUCAUUCUUACCUAAAAUUGUAAGGCCUCUUGUCAUGUAAUUAACCAGUAUUUUAUUAAUAAACACAAGGUUAAAAAACUAAACUUUCAAUU